UUGGAAAAACCACUUUAAAAAUCAAUUUUUUUUUGUUGGUGGACGGUGCUGCAGCUGCUCCUUAAAUCCUUUCGGAGAGGGUGUGGACGUAGAGAUAUUUAAUAUAUUUCUAUUUAAAAAUCAAUGUUCCAUGGUUUGUUAUUUCGCAUCCAACAGGUGAAUUUGGAAUUUUAGGGGGAGAGGAUUAAACUGCUCGGGGGUGAAAAAUAGAAUUUUAAAAAAAAAAAAAAAAAAAACCCUGCAGCGCAUGAACCAAGGGGAAUAUUUAAAAAUAAUUAUAAAAAACACACAAAAGUUGUAUUUGUAGAUUGUUAUUAAAGUGCAAAUAACUGAAUUUUCAACACUGGUUUGGAGUCAGCUUUCAGGGCAUAAUGUGAUGAAAAGAUCAGCCUAUGCCCCCCCUUUUAAAGGAAAAUUAUCAGCAGGAGAAAUCAGGAUGUGUAAACCGCAAAGCCCAAAAAAAGGUAACCUAAAUGUCUGAUUUUAAUAUAGCACAUUUCUCUUUUCCAUAAACCUGUGACGUAAACUUUUUACCCAGCCGACCCUUCAGGUGUUAAUUUAAUGUAAAAAGGGGAAAAAAAAACCCACCAAAAAAAAAAAAAAAAUUUUAAAUAUAAACGUUUAAACCGACCCACGUGGCAUAAAUUAGCAAUAACUUUUAAUAAUGUGCCCUUGGCAGAUGCACUGGGAUGGAAUGUGGGCCAAAAUUUAAAUAUCCUGGAUUUUUUAAAGGAUAAAAGAUGUAAAAUGCACAUGAAUCCAAGCUAGUCCUGCUACUGCCAAAACAACAACAAAAAACCCAAAAAAACCCCAAAUUCUGCUCAGUUGUUUGAAAAUACCAAUUUUUAGCCCCCCCAGAAUUGCUGUUUCCUGUGAAAUGUCCAUAGCUCAGCUGAAGUUGCAUGUUUUUCCUUCAUGUGUAAUUGCAUGCAGGAAUCUCUUUCUUUCCUUUCCCUUUUUUUUUUUUUUAAUUUUUUAAUUUUUUUAUCUUUUAAUCUCUUUGUCAGGAUCCUCACGAUUUUUUUCUUUGAUUUGCAGGAAUUUUGGGGCUGUGAGUCAACGGGGUGAGGAGGAGGAGGAGGAGCAGGGCCAGCGCCAGCUGGGCCCAGCUUUUAGAUCAAGUGGAAAAGAUUUGCUAGAGAAUCAUCUCUUAGGAAGCAAUUUAUUCCCAAAUGGAUCUGGUGAUGCUGCCUUUGGAAUAACCCAGCUCGUGCCUUGUUUUUUUUUGUGGGAUGGUGAUGGGAAAGGAUGGAAAUGUGAAUAUAUUGAAACAACUGGAUGUGCUGGGAGUGUUUUUCAAGCAUUCCUUGGAUCAGACAGCUCCUUCCCCCCUUCCUUCCCUCUCCCAGCACUUUUCCAGGCAGGAUUUAACCCCGGAGGCUGCCAGAGCCCACCUGAGAUCCCAAAAUAACCCCCCAGCAUUGGAAUCAGCCAGACAUUCCAGGGU
Molecule: long non-coding RNA, 1447 nt
Filed under: Lonchura striata (white-rumped munia)
Lineage: Eukaryota; Metazoa; Chordata; Aves; Passeriformes; Estrildidae
Description: domestica (Bengalese finch) lncRNA (ENSLSDG00000004791.1)
Source: RNAcentral